CCCGGAUUAGCCCAAUCAAUUCUGUUCUUUAUUUACUAGUUGAGAGCACUGGGCUGUGUACUAUGCCCUUAUUCUGAUAUUAAUGAGUAAAAGACCUAUGUCCUGGGGGUAUCCUUCAAUCCUUACUUAUUAACCGGGUAUCCUGGCAUCCUCUACUUUCAUUAGUGCAAUUCUUUAUUACUAGUUCGAUGCUCCCCUGCUCUCUCAGAGAGUUUGAUUCACGAGUCCAAUUCUUAUCGUUAGUAGUUUGAUGCGCUACAACGUACCCAUAUUACAAGUUUUGUUUUUGGCCUAAAAGCCUGUAAGGGUAGCUUUAUAGUAAGCAUUGUGGGAAUGAAAUACAGGAUAUCCAAACGACUAUUUAGGGAAGAUACCCAGGCUGAGAUACAGUAAAGCUGGGUUCUAGAUCAGUAGCUAAAGAACCAAAGUAUUGAUUUGAAGAGUUAGGUCAAGUAAAGUAGGGCGAAAAGACAGGAGAAGAAGGGGCUUACUAUUAGGGUGCUCGGCCAGGUGGUAGAUCGAAUGCAGACUCAGUGGCUAAAGGAGUUCGAAAUGAAUAAGUAAUUAGGGACGGCCAAGCGGAGUCCAAUUUCCAUUCAGGAGUUGCACCAUAGGAACUUAUGAAACACUCAACAGCUUGUCCCGCUUCUGCUCCUUGUGAUGUAGUUAUUGUUUCAUUUGAUAAAGAAAUAGGUCACUAAAGAGUUAGCUUCAAAACAAGUACUUUCUGCCUCCCCUCACUCGACUUAAAGUUCAUCCAAAUUUGAUACAUCUUUUGCACUUGGCAUAGAUUUGGGUAAGGAUAAAGCUCCUUCUUUUGUCGACCUAUAUCCCUGAAGUUCAGAAUGGAAUUGGAUUUCAGAGCACAUGGUUUAUAUAGAUCUAAGUACUGAACUGGGCGAACUUAACUCAACAGUACUAUCUACUUCAUAAUUAAUAGAAUCUUUGACUUUAUCAUCUUAUACUUGCGCAUUAGGAGUGUAGUCGGCCCCCACAGCUUCCGCGCGGUCAACUAAAAUGAGGGAACUAAACUUCCCUAGCACCGCAUAUUCUCUCGUAGAUAACAUUCGAACAGGCAAUUCAGCUGCCGACUUGCGCACUGCUUUAGAUCCUGUUUCUUAUCCUUCAGUUGGUGGCUAUAAUCAAAGGGCAACAAAUCAAUAAUUGGAUCUAUCUCUUGUGCGUGCAUAUAUAUAUCAAUAUUUAUUGGAAUGUCAUCUCCCUUCCCGUUACUUGUGAGUCUUGCCCGAACUCACGUUACUUUAAUGCUUGGACCACACCUCGCUUACUUAUACUUCUGUUAUAGUUAAAGUCAGUUACUUUUAUCUAUUAGCAGGAGCAGGGGAAUAAACAAGGUCGGUCGGAGUGCCUAUCUUCAACAAGACUCAGUGCGGCAAAAGGUUAGUGUUUCCAGUGGCAGAGCUAGAGGGCAAAGCAAAGAUGAUAGGCGUCAAUGCAUUUGUUGGACAGAGCAAGAAGACAGAAAAAUGGAGACUUGGACACUGAAUCACUUACCGCUGUGCUUACCUUGGCUUCUUAUUCCAGAGUAGCAAACAAGGACGAUGGAUGAACACUAGC
Molecule: long non-coding RNA, 1578 nt
Filed under: Musa acuminata (dwarf banana)
Lineage: Eukaryota; Viridiplantae; Streptophyta; Magnoliopsida; Zingiberales; Musaceae
Description: long non-coding RNA (MACU_LNC007487)
Source: RNAcentral